RNAcentral lists this long non-coding RNA (850 nucleotides) under Coturnix japonica (Japanese quail). RNAcentral describes it as "lncRNA (ENSCJPG00005013280.1)". Lineage: Eukaryota; Metazoa; Chordata; Aves; Galliformes; Phasianidae. The record is from RNAcentral.
GUUUUUUCUUCCCCUCUUUUGUUAGUUUCACUUCAAUCAAGAUUUUCUAACUUCCUUGUUACAACAUAUGCUUGAUCAUCAGGGAAGAAGGCAUUUGAAUAGCAACCCAGUUUGAUACCAUGACCUCCAGUAACUCUUGAACCUGUGUAUGAACGUGCCAGCUGAGAUACAAAGAACAAAUAAAAAUGUUGCUUUCCAGCACUCCAUUAGAAAUGUGAAUGGGAUGAAGACAGCAACUUCUGGAGAAGACAGAGGCUUCUGUGUUGAGCAUCCAUUUCCUCUUCGGAAGGCAGCUGCAGCUGUUCUGGCUUUCUGCCAUCAAGGCACUGGCAUCUGGUAUAAGCAACACAGACAUCUCCUGCUCCUGGCAGUCUUCUGUCUUAGGGUACUUGUCUCUUACAUCCAUGAAUGCUUCAUAUAUAACUACAUAGAGAACUCUGCAAGCUUGUAAGUAUUGUUUCUCAAAGCAGAAAUUAGAUUGGAGGUAAAGCCUAGAAACACUGCUUGAAGACUGUCUCUACCUCCUCUCUGGAAAGAGCACUUUGGUGAUGUUCAGGGACUUUAGGUAAGAACACAAAAGAAACAGCCUAGGGAUGGUGAAGAAUGCAUGAGAUUCAAAGGAGAAAGUAGAAAGAUGGAUUUGACAUUAUUUGUAGGAAGGAAAUAACCCUUUUGUCUUCUGACAUUCAUUAGGGGAUAGAUAAAGUGAACCAACUGAAGCUGGAAGUGAAACAUAAAUAUAGGGAAUGUGAUGUGCAUAGGGAGCCUUUUACAUGAUUUUGUAAAGUUUUAACUCAGGUUCUAAAAUCUAUGUUUUGUUUAAUAAAUAAAGCAUUGCUUUCUAUUAACA